Long non-coding RNA from Gigantopelta aegis, 443 nucleotides. RefSeq lists it as uncharacterized. The transcript is spliced from 3 exons. Lineage: Eukaryota; Metazoa; Mollusca; Gastropoda; Neomphalida; Peltospiridae. The record is from RefSeq and is a predicted model, not a curated record.
GCAUUUCCAAUUAGAAGCCUUGAACUGACGUCUGUUUUUGUCACCGAUCGCCAUCUGUCUCAUAGCAGGAAAUAUAUAUAAACAGCCGUUUACAAAAUUCACAAUAAUCUGCUGUGUUUUGAGUCUCAUAGUUUACUCUUCGCAGUCUACGCAACAAUGAAGUUCCUCGUUCUAAUUCUACUCGUGUGCAUCGCGUCGACCACGGGCUACUUUAUGAACGGAUUUGGCCGCGGAGGGGGCUGCGCAAAUUAUGGACAGAGGUGCUCUGUUGGAAACGGAAGGAACUGCUGCAGUGGUCGUAGGUUGGUCUGUCUCGGGGGGUCGUGCUCUCGGCUCAAUGUCGGAUGAUUCGGUUUGUCUCACGUUUCCUGGGAGCAUCAGCCGUUUGCUGGACUACGUGUACUCUAACUACAGUAACGCUUCUGGUAAUAAAAUUCCAUAAA